CCGAGUUUACAACUCCCAAACCCCUGUGAACAUACCUAUACGUUGCCUCGGCGGAUCAGCCCGCGCCCCGUAAAAAGGGACGGCCCGCCCGAGGACCCCUAAACUCUGUUCUUAGUGGAACUUCUGAGUAAAACAAACAAAUAAAUC
Molecule: unclassified non-coding RNA, 147 nt
Filed under: soil metagenome
Description: partial internal transcribed spacer 1
Source: RNAcentral